GCCCCCGUAGCUCAGGUGGAUAGAGCACCAGAUUCCUAAUCUGGGUGUCGUGCGUUCGAGUCGCGCCGGGGGCACCA
Molecule: transfer RNA, 77 nt
Filed under: delta proteobacterium NaphS2
Lineage: Bacteria; Deltaproteobacteria
Also listed under: 17 other names
Description: tRNA-Arg
Rfam family: tRNA
About the family: Transfer RNA (tRNA) molecules are approximately 80 nucleotides in length.
Source: RNAcentral